AUGAAAGGCCUCUUGAAAGGAAGAUUUUUGCCCGCUGAUUAUGACCAGAUCCUAUUUAUCCAAUUUCAAAAUUGUGCUCAAGGAAAUAGGACUCUUUCAGAUUACACGGAGGAGUUUCUAAGGCUACAAGUGAGGUGCAACCUUGUUGAAACUGAAGAGCAACAAGUUGCAAGGUACAUCAAUGGUCUCAAUGAUGCUAUUCAAGAUCGAUUGAUGAUGCAACAAAUCUGGUCCGUUGAUCAAGCACAAGCUCUAGCCUUAAAGGCCGAGAGGUUUGUGAGGAUGAGAAAGACAACUAAGGCUCCAUAUCCUCCAUAUCCUCAUACCGAAGGCUCAUCUAGGAGCCAACCUAAUAGUGGAAGAAAAGACCACUCCACCAAAGACAAAACAGCCCAUCUCGAAGCAAACUAG
Molecule: ribosomal RNA, 411 nt
Filed under: Triticum aestivum (bread wheat)
Lineage: Eukaryota; Viridiplantae; Streptophyta; Magnoliopsida; Poales; Poaceae
Description: partial small subunit ribosomal RNA
Source: RNAcentral